RNAcentral lists this ribosomal RNA (498 nucleotides) under uncultured bacterium. RNAcentral's name for it is "bacterial SSU rRNA". It matches the Rfam family "Bacterial small subunit ribosomal RNA", at positions 28 to 536 of the family's 1533-position model. The record is from RNAcentral.
GAUGAACGCUGGCGGCGUGCCUCAAACAUGCAAGUCGAGCGGGGCUAUGUAAUAUCGCAAGGUAGAACAUAGCCUAGCGGCGAACGGGUGAGUAACACGUGGGUAACCUGCCUGGAAGACAGGGAUAACGAUUCGAAAGGGUCGCUAAUACCUGAUAAUAUCCUUCCAUCGCAUGGUGAUAGGAAGAAAGGGGAAACCCGCUUUCAGAUGGGCCCGCGUCCCAUCAGCUAGUUGGUAAGGUAAAGGCUUACCAAGGCGACGACGGGUAGCCGGUCUGAGAGGAUGUACGGCCACACUGGGACUGAGACACGGUCCAGACUCCUACGGGGGGCAGCAGUGGGGAAUCUUCCACAAUGGGCGAAAGCCUGAUGGAGCGACGCCGCGUGAGCGAAGAAGGCCUUCGGUGUAAAGCUCUGUCUGGAGGACGAAGGAAGUGACGGUACCUCCGGAGGAAGCCACGGCUAACUACGUGCCAGCAGCCGCGGUAAGAGUAGUACA